GUGUCAGCAGCCGCGGUAAUACGUAGGGAGCAAGCGUUGUUCGGAAUUAUUGGGCGUAAAGAGCGCGUAGGCGGUUUGGUAAGUCUGGUGUGAAAUCCCGGAGCUUAACUCCGGAACUGCAUUGGAUACUGCCAGGCUUGAGUGUGGGAGAGGAGAGUGGAAUUCCCAGUGUAGAGGUGAAAUUCGUAGAUAUUGGGAGGAACACCCGUGGCGAAGGCGGCUCUCUGGACCACAACUGACGCUGAGGCGCGAAAGCUAGGGGAGCAAACGGGAUUAGAUACCCCGGUAGUCCUAGCCGUAAACGAUGGGCACUAGGUGUUGGAGGUAUCGACCCCUCCAGUGCCGCAGCUAACGCAUUAAGUGCCCCGCCUGGGGAGUACGGUCGCAAGACUAAA
RNAcentral lists this ribosomal RNA (395 nucleotides) under uncultured bacterium. RNAcentral's name for it is "bacterial SSU rRNA". It matches the Rfam family "Bacterial small subunit ribosomal RNA", at positions 505 to 898 of the family's 1533-position model. The record is from RNAcentral.